Molecule: long non-coding RNA, 1124 nt
Filed under: Trifolium pratense (red clover)
Lineage: Eukaryota; Viridiplantae; Streptophyta; Magnoliopsida; Fabales; Fabaceae
Description: long non-coding RNA (TPRA_LNC004135)
Source: RNAcentral
CUUAGUUGAUAAAGUGGCUGCUUUGUUGAAGUUGGCCCUCUUUCUUUGGAGCUGUUUCCAGAACAUCAUUUGCAAAAAAACAAAAAGGAUAAAAAACAAUGGGAAGAAACAAACAAUUAUACCAUAAUUAGAAACAUGAGCGUUGGAAGAAAACAUUGAUAUCAUUAGAUGAUAAAACUUCUGCUAACGCAAUGAAGAAAACAACGUGAAGCAAGCAUUGUGCGCGUUAAAACACUUAUUCACAUUUUUGCAAGAUGAAUAAUUUCAGGGUCAUUCCAAGUAACUCAUCAAGUGUAUUGUCCAAGUAUGAAAUUAGUGACCAAAAUGAUAAUAAUCAGUCUCAAAAGAGUAGUAAUAAUAAUAACAGAGUUUCAAAAUAUAAUUUUAAUCGUCGUAAAACAUACCAAAAGAUGAAAAAUCAGACCUUUUUAUCGUAAACGACGACAAUGAAAGAUUGUAAGCGUAAAACAUAGAUUUUAAGCGUUAAAGCUAGAAAACACAUAUUUUAAUCGUCGUAAAACUUACGAAAAUAUUUAAAAUUAGACUUUUUACCGUAAACGACGGCAAUGAAAGAUUGUAGCGUGAAAACAUAGAUUUUAAUCCGGUGUCCAUAUCAGUGUCUAUACUUAUAAUCAAUAUAAGGACAUAACUAAACAUUAAAAGGUAACAUUUGAGUUAAAGAUGUAGGUAAGAAAAAUGAUCAGUAGGACACAAUAAAGGAAGAGCUACCAAGAACUUGUAUGUAUCAUAGUUGGAUAUGAGAAAGAUAAUCAUAUUUUACCUUUUGUAACUCACUUUCUAUGGAAGAGCUACCAAGAUUCAACUUCAUAGACAUAAAUAAAAAAAUGUUAAUUUCAUAUUAGAGAAAAUAUUUAUAUAAAAACCUGCAUUAAAACCAAACUUUGGUUAAAUGUUGAACAAAAAUUCAUAUGAAAAACAACCUCCUUAUCUUCUUUAGUUUCAUUUGCGCAAGCUUCAUUCCCAAAAAAAAUGAAAAGUUAAAUUUUCAAGGUUUAAAAUGACAAAGGAAAGAAGAAUGAAUGAAAGGGAGAGAAAUAAACCUUACCUAGUAUUUGCAGAUUUUUUUCCAAAGAUAGAAUGAAUGGUUAGGUAAAUAUACCAUG